CCUGAGAAACCCAAAAGAUCGAAUGAGGAGAUUCAUCGUCAGCGCAUUUGGUAUAUGUAUAAGUUAUGAUGUUGAGAAUUUUUUCUUGCACGUGCUUGUAUCAUUUAAUUGCUAGAUGUCGUCGGCGUGCACUUCUCCUCUAGUAGGACGUCGCGACCCGUUAGGUGUCGGUCUACGGCCCAGAUGGAUGUCUUUAAUGUGCACUUUAAUCAGUGUUAUUGUUGAAGACCACUGGUGUAUUCUAACCGGCUGCCUGGCGGUAUUCAAAUGGUAUUGAGCCGCAUUUAUUAAUGCGUCGAACUCACCACAAGCCAGAUCAGUGUUCUUAGUAGUACGGACCUAGUGCCGUCGCUCAGCCUGGUUAGCUGUUAGUUGUGUGAUGUUCUUCGACUGGCUUGAUUGAUAAUAUUAUUAUACCGGUCAGCGAUGCUACUGCU
RNAcentral lists this ribosomal RNA (437 nucleotides) under Homolobus australiensis. RNAcentral describes it as "eukaryotic LSU rRNA". Lineage: Eukaryota; Metazoa; Arthropoda; Insecta; Hymenoptera; Braconidae. The record is from RNAcentral.